RNAcentral lists this long non-coding RNA (664 nucleotides) under Macaca mulatta (Rhesus monkey). RNAcentral describes it as "lncRNA (ENSMMUG00000056707.1)". Lineage: Eukaryota; Metazoa; Chordata; Mammalia; Primates; Cercopithecidae. The record is from RNAcentral.
CCUACAGCCCCUCCCUCCCCACCUAUGUCAGCGCCGCUAAAUUUAGCUCUUCCAGCAUGUGCACAGUUUAUAUUUAGUGCCUAAAAGUCAGAGUUCAAUGUACAAUUCAUCAAGUCAUCAAUCAUCCCUCUAUCCAAGCGACACAUUAUAGAAAAAUCCUUUCAAAAGACUCGCUUGCUCUCCACAAGGGGUAGAAGCCAUUCUAAGAAGGAAUUCACUGGGCCAGAGGGGUUUUCUCCUCACCGUGGUGUGUGAGGAGUGCCUGAGAAUGCCAAGCCUGGAGUGGGGGGAUUUUGGCAAAUGCUCUGGAAAUUUGCAAGACCAGUGAUUUGUGGACAUCAGAUCUAUAGCCGGUAGCAUUGUCAGCUGACAGCUUGCCAAAGAAGAUAGGAAGUAAUCAGUGCAAACUUUGUGGAAAUUUGAUUAAUAAAAACCGAGAGCAACAUUUAAUCUACAUUCAACAAGAAAGAUCUAAGUAUUAAUAUUUAUAUUGAGAAACAGGUUUGGAAUGUUGAUAACAUAAGUUGAAUAUAAGUUGUUACCAAACAUAAACCUCUUUGGGGGAUUUUGCUUAUUUUCAUUAUCAAAUAAUGGCAAUCAGUUUAGUUUUGCUGGUCAGUGACUAACCCUAAACCUCUCAACCUAGCUGGGAAUAGGAUGUCAA